Molecule: ribosomal RNA, 722 nt
Filed under: uncultured Fusobacterium sp.
Lineage: Bacteria; Fusobacteriati; Fusobacteriota; Fusobacteriia; Fusobacteriales; Fusobacteriaceae
Description: bacterial SSU rRNA
Rfam family: Bacterial small subunit ribosomal RNA
Source: RNAcentral
GAUGAACGCUGACAGAAUGCUUAACACAUGCAAGUCAACUUGAACUUCGGUUUGGGUGGCGGACGGGUGAGUAACGCGUAAAGAACUUGCCUCACAGAUAGGGACAACAUUUGGAAACGAAUGCUAAUACCUGAUAUUAUGAUUUUAGGGCAUCCCAGAAUUAUGAAAGCUAUAUGCGCUGUGAGAGAGCUUUGCGUCCCAUUAGCUAGUUGGAGAGGUAACGGCUCACCAAGGCGAUGAUGGGUAGCCGGCCUGAGAGGGUGAUCGGCCACAAGGGGACUGAGACACGGCCCUUACUCCUACGGGAGGCAGCAGUGGGGAAUAUUGGACAAUGGACCAAGAGUCUGAUCCAGCAAUUCUGUGUGCACGAUGAAGUUUUUCGGAAUGUAAAGUGCUUUCAGUUGGGAAGAAAAAAAUGACGGUACCAACAGAAGAAGUGACGGCUAAAUACGUGCCAGCAGCCGCGGUAAUACGUAUGUCACAAGCGUUAUCCGGAUUUAUUGGGCGUAAAGCGCGUCUAGGUGGUUAUAUAAGUCUGAUGUGAAAAUGCAGGGCUCAACUCUGUAUUGCGUUGGAAACUGUGUAACUAGAGUACUGGAGAGGUAAGCGGAACUACAAGUGUAGAGGUGAAAUUCGUAGAUAUUUGUAGGAAUGCCGAUGGGGAAGCCAGCUUACUGGACAGAUACUGACGCUGAAGCGCGAAAGCGUGGGUAGCAAACAGG